AAUUCUGCAAGGGACAAAGGGUUAUGUUGGUGACAGAGACUCUGAGAACAAGGAGAAGGUGUGCACGGUGCUGUGGGGCUCCACCCGCUCCACCCCGGGAGGACCCACGGGACUGUGAGGAUCCUCACGGAGGCACACUCCUACUCAAAAUCUUCCAUACAUUCCCCACUGAGAGUGGCUGGGGUCUGAGUUCCUCGGCCUUGGGUUCAGAGCCCCCAUCAUCAGCCUCGAUCUUUCCAGCUCCCAUGGUCUACUCUAUGCUACUUCAGCCUGACCCUUUGGCUCAGCCAUGGCUUCUGGAACUCACUGAGGAGGCACAGUGAGAGGCGCAGCUGACUUGAAGUGCACCGCAUUGCUGUUUAACCAAGUAAGGGGAAGAUGGCCACUCCAAAAAGUCAUGUUUGCAAGGUGCUCCCAAACCAGGG
This is a long non-coding RNA of Mirounga angustirostris (Northern elephant seal), 425 nucleotides long. RefSeq lists it as uncharacterized. The transcript is spliced from 3 exons. The record is from RefSeq and is a predicted model, not a curated record. Lineage: Eukaryota; Metazoa; Chordata; Mammalia; Carnivora; Phocidae.